This 503-nucleotide ribosomal RNA is filed under the name uncultured bacterium. Its description in RNAcentral is "partial 16S ribosomal RNA". It matches the Rfam family "Bacterial small subunit ribosomal RNA", at positions 30 to 523 of the family's 1533-position model. The record is from RNAcentral.
AUUGAACGCUGGCGGCAGGCUUAACACAUGCAAGUCGAGCGGAGUGAUGGUGCUUGCACUAUCACUUAGCGGCGGACGGGUGAGUAAUGCUUAGGAAUCUGCCUAUUAGUGGGGGACAACAUCUCGAAAGGGAUGCUAAUACCGCAUACGUCCUACGGGAGAAAGCAGGGGAUCACUUGUGACCUUGCGCUAAUAGAUGAGCCUAAGUCGGAUUAGCUAGUUGGUGGGGUAAAGGCCUACCAAGGCGACGAUCUGUAGCGGGUCUGAGAGGAUGAUCCGCCACACUGGGACGGAGACACGGCCCAGACUCCUACGGGAGGCAGCAGUGGGGAAUAUGAGACAAUGGGGGGAACCCUGAUCCAGCCAUGCCGCGUGUGUGAAGAAGGCCUUAUGGUUGUAAAGCACUUUAAGCGAGGAGGAGGCUUACCUAGUUAAUACCUGGGAUAAGUGGACGUUACUCGCAGAAUAAGCACCGGCUAACUCUGUGCCAGCAGCCGCGGUAA